This 425-nucleotide ribosomal RNA is filed under the name uncultured bacterium. RNAcentral's name for it is "bacterial SSU rRNA". It matches the Rfam family "Bacterial small subunit ribosomal RNA", at positions 356 to 773 of the family's 1533-position model. The record is from RNAcentral.
GGGGAAUUUUGGACAAUGGGCGCAAGCCUGAUCCAGCCAUGCCGCGUGCAGGAUGAAGGCCUUCGGGUUGUAAACUGCUCUUGUACGGAACGAAAAGACUCUGGUUAAUACCUGGGGUCCAUGACGGUACCGUAAGAAUAAGCACCGGCUAACUACGUGCCAGCAGCCGCGGUAAUACGUAGGGUGCGAGCGUUAAUCGGAAUUACUGGGCGUAAAGCGUGCGCAGGCGGUUAUAUAAGACAGAUGUGAAAUCCCCGGGCUCAACCUGGGAACUGCAUUGGUGACUGUAUAGCUAGAGUACGGCAGAGGGGGAUGGAAUUCCGCGUGUAGCAGUGAAAUGCGUAGAUAUGCGGAGGAACACCGAUGGCGAAGGCAAUCCCCUGGGCCUGUACUGACGCUCAUGCACGAAAGCGCGGGGAGCAAAC